This 1782-nucleotide long non-coding RNA is filed under the name Homo sapiens (human). Its description in RNAcentral is "HSALNT0047809". The record is from RNAcentral. Lineage: Eukaryota; Metazoa; Chordata; Mammalia; Primates; Hominidae.
ACAGCUAGAAGGUGCCACCCCGAGCCUGAAAGUAGGCCCUCACCAGACACUGAAUCUGCUCCACUUUGGUCUUGGACUUCUCAACCUCCAGAACCGUGAGAAAGAAAUUUCUGUUAUUUAAAAGGUUCCUAGAUGCUGGCAAUGCCAGGAUGGAUGAAUUACUUUCCUUGGCCCGGAGAGCCUCACCGUCUAGAAAGAGAUACAGACGUGCAAAUAAUUGCAAGAGAUUCCUCCAGGCAGCUGAGUGCACCUUCUGCAUACCUUUGAUAUCUAAUAUUCAAGUCAUAUCCCAGCCCUUGCUCCCCACAAGCAGACAGAACCAAGAAUUCUUCAACCUCUUCUGUCCUGAGACCCUGCCUGGGGCUCUCCUGAUUCUCUCAGCCACCAAGCUCACCUCCCAGUCUGUACUUUGGGCUUUUCCUCUCUCUGCAGGUAUGAAGUGGUCUACUCUGUUGCCGCAUCUUGUCUUGGGCUCUAUUAGGGGCUGAACCAUGUCCCCCACAAUCAAUCCUGAGUACCUCUGAAUGUAACCAUAUUUGGAGAUAAGAUCUUUAACGAGGUGAUUAAGUCAAAAUGAGGCCUUUAGGGUGGGGACCUAAUCCAAUAUGACUGGUGUCCUUACAAAAGAAGAGCCACCCGGGAUGCAUGCCUGCAUCACACACAGAAAAGGCCAUGUGGGGACGCAGGGAGAAGGCGGCCGGCUGCAAGCCAAGGAGAGAGGUCUCGGGAGAAACCAACACUGCCAAAAUCUUGAUCUUGGACUUCUAGCCUCCAGAACUGUGAGAAGGGUUUCUGGCUGAUAAAGGUAUAUAGGAGGUUCUGAAAUGUUAUUGAGUGAAUGAAUAAAUUAGCACUAGAAAAAAAGCAUGGACUUUGGAAGAGGACCAGAAUUUAAAACCAGACUAGAAGUGUAGAGUUGGGGGAACUCAACCCAUUUCCCACCACUUCCAUCGACCUCCUGUGGCAUCCUAAUGUUCAGAAGGAGAAGAACAUUCUAGAAGGAGAACAAAAUUCUAUCAGCAAGAAGUAUAAUACUCUUGUGCCAAAGGUGUGCACAAUCAGCCAAGUGACCUGAGAAAUGCAAGUCCUGGCUCUAUUGAGGUCAUCAAGGAGAAAGCAAGCCGCUGGCAAGUCAGGAAUCUGUCUCAAAGUAAACAUGUGGCUUGUGACCUUGAGGAUGUGCGUAUGUUUAUUGUUGGGGCAGUUGCUUUUUCCUUAUCUCUCACCAGCUCUCAAAAGACCUGUUUAAGUUUUCUGUAAGAGGAUAUAUCUCAUGUGCAGUUGCAAAUAUGCUUCUUUAUUCUUCUCUGGCUAAUAAUUAUCAAAGUUACAGUCAUGAAUAUUCACCUUCUCAGGCUGCUCUGUCAGAGAUUUUUCUGGGUGGGCAUGGUGGUUCACACCUGUAAUUCCAGCACUUUGGGAGGCGGAGGUGGGCGGAUCAUUUGAGGUCACGAGUUCAAGACCAGCCUGGACAACAUGGUGAAACCUCGUCUCUACUAAAAAUACAAAAAUUAGCCAGGCGUGGUGGUGUGGGCCUGUAAUUACCACUACUCAGGAGGCUGAGGCAGGAGAAUCACUUGAACCUGAGAGGUGGAGGUUGCAGUGUCCCAAGAUCACACCACUGCACUCCAGCCUGGGCAACAGCAUGAGACUCCACCUCAAAAAAAAAAAAGAGAUUUGUCUUAAAGCUGUGAGCCAUAAGGCUGGGCACAGUGGUUCACGUCUGUAAUCCCAGCAUUUUGGGAGGUCGAGGUGGGGGGACCGCUUGAGCCCAGAAGUUCA